RNAcentral lists this ribosomal RNA (306 nucleotides) under Escherichia coli. RNAcentral describes it as "bacterial LSU rRNA". It matches the Rfam family "Bacterial large subunit ribosomal RNA", at positions 904 to 1208 of the family's 2925-position model. Lineage: Bacteria; Pseudomonadati; Pseudomonadota; Gammaproteobacteria; Enterobacterales; Enterobacteriaceae. The record is from RNAcentral.
AGAGCACUGUUUCGGCAAGGGGGUCAUCCCGACUUACCAACCCGAUGCAAACUGCGAAUACCGGAGAAUGUUAUCACGGGAGACACACGGCGGGGGCUAACGUCCGUCGUGAAGAGGGAAACAACCCAGACCGCCAGCUAAGGUCCCAAAGUCAUGGUUAAGUGGGAAACGAUGUGGGAAGGCCCAGACAGCCAGGAUGUUGGCUUAGAAGCAGCCAUCAUUUAAAGAAAGCGUAAUAGCUCACUGGUCGAGUCGGCCUGCGCGGAAGAUGUAACGGGGCUAAACCAUGCACCGAAGCUGCGGCAG